CCUACGGGAGGCAGCAGUAGGGAAUAUUGCUCAAUGGGGGAAACCCUGAAGCAGCAACGCCGCGUGGAGGAUGAAGGUUUUCGGAUUGUAAACUCCUUUUGUUAGAGAAGAUUAUGACGGUAUCUAACGAAUAAGCACUGGCUAACUCCGUGCCAGCAGCCGCCGUAAUACGGAGGGUGCAAGGGGUAGGCGGAAUCACUGGGCGUAAAGAGAGCGUAGGCGGGGUAAUAAGUCAGAUGCGAAAUCCUUUGGCUUAACUACAGAACUGCAUUUGAGACUGGUACACUGGAGUGUGGGAGAGGUAGGUGGAAUUCUUGGUGUAGGGGUGAAAUCCGUAGAGAUCAAGAGGAAUACUCAUUGCGAAGGCGACCUGCUGGAACAUUACUGACGCUGAUGCACGAAAGCGUGGGGAGCAAACAGGAUUAGAUACCCCAGUAGUC
This 440-nucleotide ribosomal RNA is filed under the name uncultured bacterium. Its description in RNAcentral is "partial 16S ribosomal RNA". It matches the Rfam family "Bacterial small subunit ribosomal RNA", at positions 338 to 795 of the family's 1533-position model. The record is from RNAcentral.